RNAcentral lists this ribosomal RNA (256 nucleotides) under uncultured bacterium. Its description in RNAcentral is "partial 16S ribosomal RNA". It matches the Rfam family "Bacterial small subunit ribosomal RNA", at positions 524 to 776 of the family's 1533-position model. The record is from RNAcentral.
UACGUAGGGUGCAAGCGUUAAUCGGAAUUACUGGGCGUAAAGCGUGCGCAGGCGGUUGUGUAAGACAGAUGUGAAAUCCCCGGGCUCAACCUGGGAACUGCAUUUGUGACUGCACGGCUCGAGUGCGGCAGAGGGGGAUGGAAUUCCGCGUGUAGCAGUGAAAUGCGUAGAUAUGCGGAGGAACACCGAUGGCGAAGGCAAUCCCCUGGGCCUGCACUGACGGCUCGAUGCACGAAAGCCGUGGGGAGCAAACAGG